CCUACGGGGGGCUGCAGUGGGGAAUAUUGGACAAUGGGGGCAACCCUGAUCCAGCCAUGCCGCGUGUGUGAAGAAGGCCCUCGGGUUGUAAAGCACUUUCAGUGAGGAAGAACGCCUGGUGGUUAAUACCCAUCAGGAAAGACAUCACUCACAGAAGAAGCACCGGCUAACUCCGUGCCAGCAGCCGCGGUAAUACGGAGGGUGCGAGCGUUAAUCGGAAUUACUGGGCGUAAAGCGCGCGUAGGUGGCUUGAUAAGCCGGUUGUGAAAGCCCCGGGCUCAACCUGGGAACGGCAUCCGGAAGUGACAAGCUAGGGUGCAGGAGAGGAAGGUAGAAUUGCCGGUGUAGCGGUGAAAUGCGUGGAGAUCGGGAGGGAUACCAGUGGCGAAGGCGGCCUUCUGGACUGACACUGACACUGGGGUGCGAAAGAGUGGGUAGGAAAGAGGAUUAGAUACCCCGGUAGUC
RNAcentral lists this ribosomal RNA (465 nucleotides) under Vreelandella stevensii. RNAcentral's name for it is "partial 16S ribosomal RNA". It matches the Rfam family "Bacterial small subunit ribosomal RNA", at positions 338 to 795 of the family's 1533-position model. The record is from RNAcentral. Lineage: Bacteria; Pseudomonadati; Pseudomonadota; Gammaproteobacteria; Oceanospirillales; Halomonadaceae.